RNAcentral lists this unclassified non-coding RNA (305 nucleotides) under plant metagenome. RNAcentral describes it as "partial contains 5.8S ribosomal RNA, internal transcribed spacer 2, and large subunit ribosomal RNA". The stretch from base 1 to 105 matches the Rfam family "5.8S ribosomal RNA", at positions 50 to 154 of the family's 154-position model. The record is from RNAcentral.
GAAAUGCGAUAAGUAAUGUGAAUUGCAGAAUUCAGUGAAUCAUCGAAUCUUUGAACGCACAUUGCGCCCGCCAGUAUUCUGGCGGGCAUGCCUGUUCGAGCGUCAUUUCAACCAUCAAGCCCCCGGCUUGUGUUGGGGACCUGCGGCUGCCCGCAGACCCUGAAAAACAGUGGCGGGCUCGCUGUCACACCGAGCGUAGUAGCAUACAUUCUCGCUCAGGGCGUGCUGCGGGUUCCGGCCGUUAAACGACCUUCAUAACCCAAGGUUGACCUCGGAUCAGGUAGGAAGACCCGCUGAACUUAAGC